This 524-nucleotide ribosomal RNA is filed under the name uncultured bacterium. RNAcentral's name for it is "partial 16S ribosomal RNA". It matches the Rfam family "Bacterial small subunit ribosomal RNA", at positions 28 to 523 of the family's 1533-position model. The record is from RNAcentral.
GACGAACGCUGGCGGCGUGCUUAACACAUGCAAGUCGAACGAGACGAUUGAAAGCUUGCUUUCGAAAGUCGAGUGGCAAACGGGUGAGUAACGCGUAGACAACCUGCCUUUGAGAUGGGGACAACAGUUCGAAAGGACUGCUAAUACCGAAUGUUGUAUAUUUUCCACAUGGAAGAUAUAUUAAAGAUGGCCUCUAUUUAUAAGCUAUCGCUCAAAGAUGGGUCUGCGUCUGAUUAGCUAGUUGGUGGGGUAACGGCCUACCAAGGCGACGAUCAGUAGCCGGUCUGAGAGGAUGAACGGCCACAGUGGGACUGAAACACGGCCCAGACUCCUACGGGAGGCAGCAGUGGGGAAUCUUCCACAAUGGACGAAAGUCUGAUGGAGCAACGCCGCGUGAGUGAAGAAGGGUUUCGGCUCGUAAAGCUCUGUUGUCGGGGACGAAUGUGCAUUACUUGAAUAAAGUAGUGUAAUGACGGUACCUGACGAGGAAGCCACGGCUAACUACGUGCCAGCCGCCGCAGUAA